CCUACGGGCGGCAGCAGUGAGGAAUAUUGGUCAAUGGACGAGAGUCUGAACCAGCCAAGCCGCGUGAGGGAUGAAGGUCCAGUGGGUUGUAAACUUCUUUUGUCUGGGAAUAAAGUGUUGCACGUGUGCGCUGUUGUGUGUACCUUAUGAAUAAGGAUCGGCUAACUCCGUGCCAGCAGCCGCGGUAAUACGGAGGAUCCGAGCGUUAUCCGGAUUUAUUGGGUUUAAAGGGAGCGUAGGUGGAUUGUUAAGUCAGUCGUGAAAGUUUGCGGCUCAACCGUAGAAUUGCAGUUGAAACUGGCAGUCUGGAGUAGAGGAGAGGUGUGCGGAAUUCGUGGUGUAGCGGUGAAAUGCUUAGAUAUCGCGAAGAACUCCGAUUGCGAAGGCAGCACACUGGAUCGUAACUGACGCUGAGGCACGAAAGCGUGGGUAUCAAACAGGAUUAGAUACCCUUGUAGUC
RNAcentral lists this ribosomal RNA (460 nucleotides) under uncultured bacterium. RNAcentral describes it as "partial 16S ribosomal RNA". It matches the Rfam family "Bacterial small subunit ribosomal RNA", at positions 338 to 795 of the family's 1533-position model. The record is from RNAcentral.